UGUCACCUAGCGGUGCAUCAAGGACAUAAUUCUUCUAUGCAGCAAUGAGGAUAAACCUCAUAUCACGGAUCCAAUCCGCAUCAUUGCUACUAACAUCUUUCAACACAAUUUUCUCUAGGAACAUAUCAAAAUAAACACAGGGAAGCAACAACGCAAGCUAUUGAUCUACAACAUAAUUUGCAAAAUACUACCAGGACUAAGUUCAUGAUAAAUUUAAAGUUCAAUUAAUCAUAUUACUUAAGAACUUCCACUUAGAAAGACAUCCCUCUAAUCCUCUAAGUGAUCACGUGAUCCAAAUCAACUAAACCAUGUCCAAUCAUCACGUGAGAUGGAGUAGCUUCAUUGGUGAACAUCACUAUGUUGAUCAUAUCUACUAUAUGAUUCACGCUCGACCUUUCGGUCUCCGUGUUCCGAGGCCAUAUCUGUAUAUGCUUGGCUCGUCAAGUAUAACCUGAGUAUUCCGCGUGUGCAACUGUUUUGCACCCGUUGUAUUUGAACGUAGAGCCUAUCACACCCGAUCAUCACGUGGUGUCUUAGCACAAAUAACUUUCGCAACAGUGCAUACUCAGGGAGAACACUUCUUGAUAAUUAGUGAGAGAUGACCUUAAAAUGCUACCGUCAAACUAAGCAAAAAUAAGAUGUAUAAAAGAUAAACAUCAUAUGCAAUCAAAAUAUGUGACAUGAUAUGGCCAUCAUCAUCUUGCGCCUUUGAUCUCCAUCUCCAAAGUACUGCCAUGAUCUAUAUCGUCACCGGCAUGACACCAUGAUCUCCAUCAUCUUGAUCUAUAUCAAUGUGUCGUCACAUGGUCGUCUCGCCAACUAUUGCUCUUGCAACUAUUGCUAUCGCAUAGCGAUAAAGUAAAGCAAUUAUUGGGCAAUUGCAUCUUAUGCAAUAGAGAGACAACCAUAAGGAUUUUGCAAGUUGCUGAUAACUUCAACAAAACAUGAUCAUCUCAUACAACAACUUAUAUCUCAUCACGUCUUGACCAUAUCACAUCACAACAUGCCCUGCAAAAACAAGUUAGACGUCCUCCACUUUGUUGUUGCAAGUUUUACGUGGCUGCUACGGGCUUAAGCAAGAACCAAUCUUACCUACGCAUCAAAACCACAACAAUAGUUUGUCAUGUUGGUGCUGUUUUAACCUUCGUAAGGACCGGGCAUAGCCACACUCGGUUCAACUAAAGUUGGAGAAACUGACACCCGCCAGCCACCUGUGUGCAAAGCACGUCGGUAGAACCAGUCUCGCGUAAGCGUACGCGUAAUGUCAUGUUGGGGAACGUAGUAAUUUCAAAAAAAUUCCUACGCACACGCAAGAUCAUGGUGAUGCAUAGCAACGAGAGGGGAGAGUGUGAUCUACGUACCCUUGUAGACCGACAGCGGAAGCGUUAGCACAACGCGGUUGAUGUAGUCGUACGUCUUCACGGCCCGACCGAUCAAGCACCGAAACUACAGCACCUUCGAGUUCUAGCACACGUUCAGCUCGAUGACAAUCCCCGGACUCCGAUCCAGCAAAGUGUCGGGGAAGAGUUCCGUCAGCAUGAUCGCGUGGUGACGAUCUUGACGUACUACCGCCGCAGGACUUCGCCUAAGCACCGCUACAAUAUUAUCGAGGAUUAUGGUGGAAGGGGGCACUGCACACGGCUAAGAAUAUGAUCACGUGGAUCAACUUGUGUGUCUAUGGGGUGCCCCCUGCCCCCGUAUAUAAAGGAUCAAGGGAAGGAGGCCGGCCGGCCCCUAUGGCGCGCCAAGGAGGAGUCCUCCUCCUAGUAGGAGUAGGACUCCUACUAGGAGGGGGAAAGAAGUGGGGAGGGAGAAGGAAAGGGGGGCGCCGCCCCCCCUCUCCUAGUCCAAUUCGGACUAGGGGGGGAGGAGGCGCGCGGCCCACCCUGGCUGCCCCUCUCUCUCUCCACUAAGGCCCAUAUGGCCCAUUACUUCUCCCGGGGGGGUUCCGAUAACCCUCCGGCUCUCCGGUUUUCUCUGAAAUCACCCAGAACACUUCCGGUGUCCGAAUAUAGUCGUCCAAUAUAUCAAUCUUUAUGUCUCGACCAUUUCGAGACUCCUCGUCAUGUCCGUGAUCACAUCCGGGACUCCGAACUAACUUCGGUGCAUCAAAACUCAUAAACUCAUAAUAUAACUGUCAUCGAAACCUUAAGCGUGCGGACCCUACGGGUUCGAGAACAAUGUAGACAUGACCGAGACACGUCUCCGGUCAAUAACCAAUAGCGGAACCUGGAUGCUCAUAUUGGCUCCUACAUAUUCUACGAAGAGCUUUAUCGGCCAGACCGCAUAACAACAUAUGUUGUUCCCUUUGUCAUCGGUAUGUUACUUGCCCGAGAUUCGAUCGUCGGUAUCUCAAUAGCUAGUUCAAUCUCGUUACCGGCAAGUCUCUUUACUCGUUUCGUAAUACAUCAUCUUGCAACUAACUCAUUAGUUGUAAUGCUUGCAAGGCUUAUGUGAUGUGCAUUACCGAGAGGGCCCAGAGAUACCUCUCCGACAAUCGGAGUGACAAAUCCUAAUCUCGAAAUACGCCAACCCAACAUUCACCUUUGGAGACACCUGUAGAGCUCCUUUAUAAUCACUCAGUUACGUUGUGACGUUUGGUAGCACACAAAGUGUUCCUCCGGUAAAUGGGAGUUGCAUAAUCUCAUAGUCAUAGGAACAUGUAUAAGUCAUGAAGAAAGCAAUAGCAACAUACUAAACGAUCGGGUGCUAAGCUAAUGGAAUGGGUCAUGUCAAUCACAUCAUUCUCCUAAUGAUGUGAUCCCAUUAAUCAAAUGACAACACAUGUCUAUGGUUAGGAAACAUAACCAUCUUCGAUUAACGAGCUAGUCAAGUAGAGGCAUACUAGUGACGUUUGGUUUGUCUAUGUAUUCACACAAGUAUUAUGUUUCUGGAUAAUACAAUUCUAGCAUGAAUAAUAAACAUUUAUCAUGAUAUAAGCAAAUAAAAUAAUAACAUUAUUAUUGCCUCUAGGGCAUAUUUCCUUCAGUCUCCCACUUGCACUAGAGUCAAUAAUCUAGAUUACACAGUAAUGAUUCUAACACCCAUGGAGCUUUGGUGCUGAUCAUGUUUUGCUCGUGGAAGAGGCUUAGUCAACGGGUCUGCUACAUUCAGAUCCGUAUGUAUCUUGCAAAUCUCUAUGUCUCCCACCUGGACUAAAUCCCGGAUGGAAUUGAAGCGUCUCUUGAUGUGCUUGGUUCUCUUGUGAAAUCUGGAUUCCUUUGCCAAGGCAAUUGCACCAGUAUUGUCACAAAAGAUUUUCAUUAGACCCGAUGCACUAGGUAUGACACCUAGAUCGGAUAUGAACUUCUUCAUCCAGACUCCUUUGUUUGCUGCUUCCGAAGAAGCUAUGUACUCCGCUUCACAUGUAGAUCCCUCCACAACGCUUUGUUUAGAACUGCACCAACUAAUAGCUCCACCGUUUAAUGUAAACACGUAUCCGGUUUGCGAUUUAGAAUCGUCCGGAUCAGUGUCAAAGCUUGCAUCAAUGUAACCAUUUACGAUGAGCUCUUUUUCACCUCCAUAUAUGAGAAACAUAUCCUUAGUCCUUUUCAGGUAUCAGGAUGUUCUUGACCGCUGUCCAGUGGUCCACUCAUGGAUUACUUUGGUACCUCCCUGCCAGACUUAUAGCAAGACACACAUCAGGUCUGGUACACAGCAUUGCAUACAUGAUAGAGCCUAUGGCUGAAGCAUAGGGAACAUCUUUCAUUUUCUCUCUAUCUUCUGCAUUGGUCGGACUUUGAGUCAUACUCAAUUUCACACCUUGUAACACAGGCAAGAAUCCUUUCUUUGCUUGAUCCAUUUUGAACUUUUUCAAAACUUUGUCAAGGUAUGUGCUUUGUGAAAGUCCAAUUAAGCGUCUCGAUCUGUCUCUAUAGAUCUUGAUGCCCAAUAUGUAGGCAGCUUCACCGAGGUAUUUCAUUGAAAAACUUUUAUUCAAGUAUCCUUUUAUGCUAUACAGAAAUUCUAUAUCAUUUCCGAUUAGUAAUAUGUCAUCUACAUAUAAUAUCAGAAAUGCUACAGAGCUCCCACUCACUUUCUUGUAAAUACAGGCUUCUCCAAAAGUCUGUAUAAAACCAAAUGCUUUGAUCACACUAUCAAAGCGUUUAUUCCAACUCCGAGAGGCUUGCACCAGUCCAUAAAUGGAUCGCUGGAGCUUGCACACUUUGUUAGCUCCCUUUGGAUCGACAAAACCUUCCGGCUGCAUCAUAUACAACUCUUCUUGCAGAAAUCCAUUCAGGAAUGCAGUUUUGACAUCCAUUUGCCAAAUUUCAUAAUCAUAAAAUGCGGCAAUUGCUAACAUGAUUCGGACAGACUUAAGCAUCGCUACGGGUGAGAAGGUCUCAUCGUAGUCAAUCCCUUGAACUUGCCGAAAACCUUUUGCGACAAGUCGAGCUUUGUAGACAGUAAUAUUACCGUCAGUGCCAGUCUUCUUCUUGAAGAUCCAUUUAUUCUCAAUUGCUUGCCGAUCAUUGGGAAAGUCAACCAAAGUCCAUACUUUGUUCUCAUACAUGGAUCCCAUCUCAGAUUUCAUGGCUUCAAGCCAUUUUGCGGAAUCUGGGCUCACCAUCGCUUCUUCAUAGUUCGUAGGUUCAUCGUGAUCUAGUAGCAUGACUUCCAGAAUAGGAUUACCGUACCACUCUGGUGCGGAUCUUACUCUGGUUGAUCUACGAGGUUCAGUAGUAUCUUGUUCUGAAGUUUCAUGAUCAUUAUCAUUAGCUUCCUCACUAAUUGGUGUAGGUGUCACAGAAACAGGUUUCUGUGAUGUACUACUUUCCAAUAAGGGAGCAGGUACAGUUACCUCGUCAAGUUCUACUUUCCUCCCACUCACUUCUUUCGAGAGAAACUCCUUCUUCAGAAAGUUUCCGAAUUUAGCAACAAAAGUCUUGCCUUCGGAUCUGUGAUAGAAGGUGUAUCCAAUAGUUUCCUUUGGAUAUCCUAUGAAGACACAUUUCUCCGAUUUGGGUUCGAGCUUAUCAGGUUGAAGCUUUUUCACAUAAGCAUCGCAGCCCCAAACUUUCAGAAACGUCAACUUUGGUUUCUUGCCAAACCACAGUUCAUAAGGCGUCGUCUCAACGGAUUUUGAUGGUGCCCUAUUUAACGUGAAUGCGGCCGUCUCUAGAGCAUAUCCCCAAAAUGAUAGCGGUAAAUCAGUAAGAGACAUCAUAGAUCGCACCAUAUCUAGUAAAGUACGAUUACGACAUUCGGACACACCAUUACGCUCUGGUGUUCCGGGUGGCGUGAGUUGCGAAACUAUUCCACAUUGUUUCAAAUGUACACCAAACUCGUAACUCAAAUAUUCUCCUCCACGAUCAGAUCGUAGGAAUUUUAUUUUCUUGUUACGAUGAUUUUCAACUUCACUCUGAAAUUCUUUGAACUUUUCAAACAUUUCAGACUUAUGUUUCAUUAAGUAGAUAUACCCAUAUCUGCUUAAGUCAUCUGUGAAGGUGAGAAAAUAACGAUAUCCGCCACGAGCCUCAACAUUCAUCGGACCACAUACAUCUGUAUGUAUGAUUUCCAACAAAUCUGUUGCUCUCUCCAUAGUACCGGAGAACGGUGUUUUUGUCAUCUUACCCAUAAGGCACGGUUUGCAAGUACCAAGUGAUUCAUAAUCAAGUGGUUCCAAAAGCCCAUCAGUAUGGAGUUUCUUCAUGCGCUUUACACCGAUAUCACCCAAACGGCUGUGCCACAAAUAAGUUGCACUAUCAUUAUCAACUCUGCAUCUUUUGGCUUCAACAUUAUGAAUAUGUGUGUCACUACUAUCGAGAUUUAAUAAGAAUAGACCACUCUUUAAGGGUGCAUGACCAUAAAAGAUAUUACUCAUAUAAAUAGAACAACCAUUAUUCUCUGAUUUAAAUGAAUAACCGUCUCGCAUCAAACAAGAUCCAGAUAUAAUGUUCAUGCUUAACGCUGGCACCAAAUAACAAUUAUUUAGGUCUAAUACUAAUCCUGAAGGUAGAUGUAGAGGUAGCGUGCCGACCGCGAUUACAUCGACUUUGGAACCAUUUCCCACGCGCAUCGUCACCUCGUCCUUAGCCAAUCUUCGCUUAAUCCGUAGUCCCUGUUUCGAGUUACAAAUAUUAGCAACAGAACCAGUAUUAAAUACCCAGGUGCUACUGCAAGCAUUAGUAAGGUACACAUCAAUAACAUGUAUAUCACAUAUACCUUUAUUCACCUUGCCAUCCUUCUUAUCCGCCAAAUACUUGGGGCAGUUCCGCUUCCAGUGACCAGUCUACUUGCAGUAGAAGCACUCAGUUUCAGGCUUAGGUCCAGGUUUGGGUUUCUUCUCUUGAGUAGCAACUUGCUUGCUGUUCUUUUUGAAGUUCCCCUUCUUCUUUCCUUUACCCUUUUUCUUGAAACUAGUGGUCUUAUUGACCAUCAACACUUGAUGCUCCUUCUUGAUUUCUACCUCUGCAGCUUUCGGCAUUGCGAAGAGCUCGGGAAUAGUCUUAUUCAUCCUUUGGAUAUUAUAGUUCAUCACGAAGCUCUUGUAGCUUGGUGGCAGUGAUUGGAGAAUUCUGUCAAUGAUGCAAUCAUCUGGAAGAUUAACUCCCAAUUGAAUCAAGUGAUUAUUAUACCCAGACAUUUUGAGUAUGUGCUCACUGACAGAACUGUUCUCCUCCAUCUUGCAGCUAUAGAACUUAUUGGAGACUUCAUAUCUCUCAAUCCGGGCAUUUGCUUGAAAUAUUAACUUCAACUCCUGGAACAUCUCAUAUGCUCCAUGACGUUCAAAACGUCGUUGAAGUCCCGAUUCUAAGCCGUAAAGCAUGGCACACUGAACUAUCGAGUAGUCAUCAGCUUUGCUCUGCCAGACGUUCAUAACAUAUGGUGUUGCUCCAGCAACAGGCCUGGCACCCAGCGGUGCUUCCAGGACGUAAUUCUUCUGUGCAGCAAUGAGGAUGAUCCUCAAGUUACGGACCCAGUCCAUGUAAUUGCUACCAUCAUCUUUCAACUUUGCUUUCUCAAGGAACACAUUAAAAUUCAACGGAACAACAACACGGGCCAUCUAUCUACAAUCAAACAUAGACAAGCAAGAUACUAUCAGGUUCUAAGUUCAUGAUAAAUUUAGGUUCAAUUAAUCAUAUUACUAAAGAACUCCCACUUAGAUACACAUCCCUCUAAUCCUCUAAGUGAUUACGUGAUCCAAAUCAACUAAACCAUGUCCGAUCAUCACGUGAGAUGGAGUAGUUUCAUUGGUGAACAUCGCUAUGUUGAUCAUAUCUACUAUAUGAUUCACGCUCGACCUUUCGGUCUCCGUGUUCCGAGGCCAUAUCUGUAUAUGCUUGGCUCGUCAAGUAUAACCUGAGUAUUCUGCGUGUGCAACUGUUUUGCACCCGUUGUAUUUGAAUGUAGAGCCUAUCACACCCGAUCAUCACGUGGUGUCUCAGCACGAAGAACUUUCGCAACGAUGCAUACUCAGGGAGAACACUUCUUGAUAAUUAGUGAGAGAUCAUCUUAAAAUGCUACCGUCAAUCAAAGCAAGAUAAGAUGCAUAAAAGAUAAACAUCACAUGCAAUCAAUAUAAGUGAUAUGAUAUGGCCAUCAUCAUCUUGUGCUUGUGAUCUCCAUCUUCGAAGCACCGUCGUGAUCACCAUCGUCACCGGCGCGACACCUUGAUCACCAUCAUAGCAUCGUUGUCGUCUCACCAAUCUUAUGCUUCCACGACUAUCACUACCGUUUAGUGAUAAAGUAAAGCAUUACAGCGCAAUUGUAUUGCAUACAAUAAAGCGACAACCAUAUGGCUCCUGCCAGUUGCCGAUAACUUGGUUACAAAACAUGAUCAUCUCAUACAAUAAAAUUCAGCAUCAUGUCUUGACCAUAUCACAUCACAACAUGCCCUGCAAAAACAAGUUAGACGUCCUCUACUUUGUUGUUGCACGUUUUACGUGGCUGCUACGGGCUUAAGCAAGAACCAAUCUUACCUACGCAUCAAAACCACAACGAUAGUUUGUCAAGUUGGUGCUGUUUUAACCUUCGCAAGGACCGGGCGUAGCCACACUCGGUUCAACUAAAGUUGGAGAAACUGACACCCGCUAGCCACCUUUGUGCAAAGCACGUCGGGAGAACCGGUCUCGCGUAAGCGUACGCGUAAUGUCGGUCCGGGCCGCUUCGUCCAACAAUACCGCCGAACCAAAGUAUGACAUGCUGGUAAGCAGUAUGACUUAUAUCGCCCACAAGUCACUUGUGUUCUACUCAUGCAUAUAACAUCAACACAUAAAACCUGGCUCGGAUGCCACUGUUGGGGAACGUAGUAAUUUCAAAAAAAUUCCUACGCACACGCAAGAUCAUGGUGAUGCAUAGCAACGAGAGGGGAGAGUGUGAUCUACAUACCCUUGUAGACCGACAGCGGAAGUGUUAGCACAAUGCGGUUGAUGUAGUCAUACGUCUUCACAGCCCGACCGAUCAAGCACCGAAACUACGGCACCUCCGAGUUCUAGCACACGUUCAGCUUGAUGACGAUCCCCGGACUCCGAUCCAGCAAAGUGUCGGGGAAGAGUUCCGUCAGCACGACGGCGUGGUGACGAUCUUGAUGUACUACCGUCGCAGGGCUUCGCCUAAGCACCGCUAGAAUAUUAUCGAGGAUUAUGGUGGAAGGGGGCACCGCACACGGCUAAGAAUAUGAUCACGUGGAUCAACUUGUGUGUCUAUGGGGUGCCCCCUGCCCCCGUAUAUAAAGGAUCAAGGGAAGGAGGCCGGCCGGCCCCUAUGGCGCGCCAAGGAGGAGUCCUCCUCCUAGUAGGAGUAGGACUCCUACUAGGAGGGGGAAAGAAGUGGGGAGGGAGAAGGAAAGGGGGGCGCCGCCCCCCCUCUCCUAGUCCAAUUUGGACUAGGGGGAGAAGGCGCGCGGCCCACCCUGGCUGCCCCUCUCUCUCUCCACUAAGGCCCAUAUGGCCCAUUACUUCUCCCGGGGGGGUUUCGGUAACCCUCCAGCUCUCCGGUUUUCUCCGAAAUCAUCCGGAACACUUCCGGUGUCCGAAUAUAGCCGUCCAAUAUAUCAAUCUUUAUGUCUCGACCAUUUCGAGACUCCUCGUCAUGUCCGUGAUCACAUCCGGGACUCCGAACUAACUUCGGUACAUCAAAACUCAUAAACUCAUAAUAUAACUGUCAUCGAAACCUUAAGCGUGCGGACCCUACGGGUUCGAGAACCAUGUAGACAUGACCGAGACACGUCUCUGGUCAAUAACCAAUAGCGGAACCUGGAUGCUCAUAUUGGCUCCUACAUAUUCUACGAAGAUCUUUAUCGGUCAGACCGCAUAACAACAUACGUUGUUCCCUUUGUCAUCGGUAUGUUACUUGCCCGAGAUUCGAUCGUCGGUAUCUCAAUACCUAGUUCAAUCUCGUUACCGGCAAGUCUCUUUACUCGUUUCGUAAUACAUCAUCUUGCAACUAACUCAUUAGUUGUAAUGCUUGCAAGGCUUAUGUGAUGUGCAUUACCGAGAGGGCCUAGAGAUACCUCUCCGACAAUCGGAGUGACAAAUCCUAAUCUCGAAAUACGCCAACCCAACAUUCACCUUUGGAGACACCUGUAGAGCUCCUUUAUAAUCACCCAGUUACGUUGUGACGUUUGGUAGCACACAAAGUGUUCCUCCGGUAAACGGGAGUUGCAUAAUCUCAUAGUUAUAGGAACAUGUAUAAGUCAUGAAGAAAGCAAUAGCAACAUACUAAACGAUCGGGUGCUAAGCUAAUGGAAUGGGUCAUGUCAAUCACAUCAUUCUCCUAAUGAUGUGAUCCCAUUAAUCAAAUGACAACACAUGUCUAUGGUUAGGAAACAUAACCAUCUUCGAUUAACGAGCUAGUCAAGUAGAGGCAUACUAGUGACGUUUGGUUUGUCUAUGUAUUCACACAAGUAUUAUGUUUCCGGAUAAUACAAUUCUAGCAUGAAUAAUAAACAUUUAUCAUGAUAUAAGGAAAUAAAAUAAUAACAUUAUUAUUGCCUCUAGGGCAUAUUUCCUUCAUGUCGGUCCGGGCCGCUUCAUCCAACAAUACUGCCGAACCAAAGUAUGACAUGCUGGUAAGCAGUAUGACUUAUAUCGCCCACAAGUCACUUGUGUUCUACUCGUGCAUAUAACAUCAACACAUAAAACCUAGGCUCGGAUACCACUGUUGGGGAAGGUAGUAAUUUUAAAAAAUUUCCUACGCACAUGCAAGAUCAUGGUGAUGCAUAGCAACGAGAGGGGAGAGUGUGAUCUACGUACCCUUGUAGACCGACAGCGGAAGCGUUAUGACAACGCGGUUGAUGUAGUUAUACGUCUUCACGGCCCGACCGAUCAAGCACCGAAACUACGGCACCUCCGAGUUCUAGCACAUGUUCAGCUCGAUGAUGAUCCCCGGCCUCGGAUCCAGCAAAGUGUCGGGGAAGAGUUCCGUCAGCGUGGUGACGAUCUUGAUGUUCUACUGUCGCAGGGCUUCGCCUAAGCACCGCUACAAUAUUAUCGAGGAUUAUGGUGGAGGGGGGCACCGCACACGGCUAAGAGGUCAAUGAUCAAUUGUUGUGUCUAUGGGGUGCCCCUGCCACCGUAUAUAAAGGAGCAAGGGGGAGGAGGUGCGGCCAGGAAAGGGGCGCGCCAGGAGGAGUCCUACUCCUAUCGGGAGUAGGACUCCCCCCUUUUCCAUGUUGGACUAGGACUCGGGGGGAAGGAGAGAGAGGGGAAAGGAAAAGGGGGGGCGUCGCCCCCCUCCUUGUCCAAUUCGGACUUGGGGGGGGGGAGGGGCACACGGAUGCCCCUUGGCCUCCUCUCCUCUUCCUCCACUAGGCCCAUUAAGGCCAAUUAGGUUGCCGGGGGGUUCCGGUAACCUCCCGGUACUCCGGUAAAAUGCCGAUUUCACUCGAGACACUUCCAAUGUACAAACAUAGGCUUCCAAUAUAUCAAUCUUCAUGUCUCGACCAUUUCGAGACUCUUCGUCAUGUCCGUCACAUCCGGGACUCCGAACAACCUUCGGUACAUCAAAACAUAUAAACUCAUAAUGAAACUGUCAUCGUAACGUUAAGCGUGCGGACCCUACGGGUUCGAGAACAAUGUAGACAUGACCGAGACACGUCUCCUGUCAAUAACCAAUAGCGGAACCUGGAUGCUCAUAUUGGCUCCCACAUAUUCUACGAAGAUCUUUAUCGGUCAGACCGCAUAACAACAUAUGUUGUUCCUUUUGUCAUCGGUAUGUUACUUGCCCGAGAUUCGAUCGUCGGUAUCUCAAUACCUAGUUCAAUCUCGUUACCGGCAAGUCUCUUUACUCGUUUCGUAAUACAUCAUCUCGCAACUAACUCAUUAGUUGCAAUGCUUGCAAGGCUUAUGUGAUGUGCAUUACCGAGAGGGCCCAGAGAUACCUCUCCGACAAACGGGGUGACAAAUCCUAAUCUCGAAAUACGCCAACCCAACAUGUACCUUUGGAGACACCUGUAGAGAUCCUUUAUAAUCACCCAGUUACGUUGUGACGUUUGGUAGCACACAAAGUGUUCCUCCGGCAAACGGGAGUUGCAUAAUCUCAUAGUCAUAGGAACAUGUAUAAGUCAUGAAGAAAGCAAUAACAACAUACUAAACGAUCGGGUGCUAAGCUAAUGGAAUGGGUCAUGUAAAUCACAUCAUUCUUCUAAUAAUGUGAUCCCGUUAAUCAAAUAACAACUCUUUUGUUCAUGGUUAGGAAACAUAACCAUCUUCGAUUAACGAGCUAGUCAAGUAGAUGCAUACUAGUGACACACUGUUUGUCUAUGUAUUCACACAUGUAUUAUGUUUCCGGUUAAUUCAAUUCUAGCAUGAAUAAUAAACAUUUAUCAUGAUAUAAGGAAAUAAAUAAUAACUUUAUUGUUGCCUCUAGGGAAUAUUUCCUUCAAUAGGGAAGAUAGAUAUUGCAAGAGGCAUAAGUACUUAGAAACUGAAUAGUUGCAAGAAAGUCUUGAUGAUUGUGCUGAAAAAUUCAAUAUUUUUCGCACCCCUUGUGAACUUUGCAAUGAACAUGGUCAUUUAAAUCUCCAAUGCAAAUUGUUUCAUGACCGAAUCAUAUCCAAAAAUUGUGAUAAUUUGAUUACCCUUGAGCAUCAUAAAGAGCUUAGUCUUCUUUUGGGGUAUGAGGAAAUGAAACGUAUAACUGAGGGUAUUCCAAAGUUUAAUCUUGAUAGAUUUCUUGAUUUUGAUCUAGAGAAAAUUUAUAUGUAUUGUGCGGUGAAUUGUAUUGAAAAUCCUUAUAUUGCCAACUACAUAAAGAAAAGAAAAGAAAUAGAGGAUGAAGAGAAUACUAAUGAAAGGGAAGAGACUUCCCAAUAUCCUCCUGUUAUUUCUUAUGAUGAAUCAGGUAACGAGGAGGAGCCUCCUAUUCAACCAAUCUCAUUAAUAAGGAGCUCCAAAAAGAGGAUUGAACCCACACAUGAUGUGGUGAAGAAGAAGAAGAAAAGAAAAAGGAAGAGAGGUAAAAAGAUAUCUCUCCCAAAUAGUGAUGCUCCUAUUACUAUUGUGCCUCAUGAAAAUAUGAUUGUGGAAGAUAAUGAUACUUCUUAUGAUCUUGAAAAUCUUUUUGGCACUUGCUUGGAAGAAUAUGAUAAUUGCUAUACUAUUGGUGCUAUCUAUACUAUUAAUGAUGAGAGUGAUUAUGCUUAUGAUAUGAAAAGGCCCAAGCUUGGGGAUGCUAUGUUUGAUGAAGAUGAUGUUUUUGAGAAUAUAUUUGCUGCAAUUAAUGUUUGUCCCAAGCUUGGGGAAGCUAUGAUUAAUGAAGAUGAUAUUUUUAGUCUCCCAAGUUUUGAUAUGCAAGUUUAUAAUGAUGAUAGCAUGCCUCCUACUUAUGAUGAUUAUUGUGAAGAUACUUAUGCUAUAAAAAGUAGUGAUUAUAUUUAUAAAACUUGUCAUGAUUAUGGUUACCCCUUUUCUGAACAUUACUCUUUUAAUGUGGAAACAAUUUAUAGUAUUCGAGUUUCCUAUGAUACUCCCACUAUUCCGAAUGAGAAGAAUUUUGCUUAUGUGGAGAGUAAUAAAAUUUCUAUGCUUGUAGAUCAUGAAAAGAAUGCUUUAGGUGAUGGAUAUAUUGUUGAAUUAAUUCAUGAUGCUACUGAAAAUUAUUAUGAGUAAGUAAUAUAUGCUUGUAGGAAUUGCAAUAAUAUCAAGUUUCCUCUCUAUGUGCUUAAAGUUUUGAAGUUAUGCAUGUUUUCCUUUCCUAUGCAAGUUGAUUCUUGUUCCCAUAAGUUGUUUGCUCACAAAAUGCCUAUGCAUAGGAAGUGGGUUAGACUUAAAUGUGAUAGUCAUAUUCUUCAAGAUGCUCUCUUUAUGUUAAAAUUCUUAUCUUUUAUGCGAGCAUCGUUGAAAUCAUCAUGCCUAGCUAGGGGCGUUAAACGAUAGCGCUUGUUGGGAGGCAACCCAAUUUUUUUUGUUCCUUACUUUUUGUUCCUGAUUAGUAAUAAAUAAUUCAUCUAGACUCUGUUUAGAUGUGGUUUUAUGCUUUUAAUUAGUGUUUGUGCCAAGUAUAACCUUUGGGAAGACUUGGGGAAAGUCUUCUUGAUCUUGCUGUAAAAAACAGAAACUUUGGCGCUCACGAGAAUUGCUGCCAUUUUUAUUUGGAGAGUGAUAUUUAGUUAAUUAUUUUUUCAGAUGAUUAAUAGAUAAAUUACUUACGUCCAGCAAUUUAUUUGAGAAUUUUAUGAGUUCCAUAAGUAUACGUUUGAUUCAGAUUACUACAGACUGUUCUGUUUUUGACAGAUUCUGUUUUUUUCAUGUGUUGUUUACUUAUUUUGAUGAAUCUAUGGCUAGUAAAAUAGUUUAUAAACCAUAGAGAAGUUGGAAUACAGUAGGUUUAACACCAAUAUAAAUAAAUAAUUAGUUCAUUAUAGUACCUUGAAGUGGUGAUUUAUUUUCUUAUACUAACGGAGCUUACGAGUUUUCUGUUAAGUUUUGUGUUGUGAAGUUUUCAAGUUUUGGGUAAGGAUUCGAUGGUCUAUGGAAUAAGGAGUGGCAAGAGCCUAAGAUUGGGGAUUCCCAAGGCACCCCAAGGUAAUAUUCAAGUAUAGACAAGAUCCUAAGCUUGGGGAUGCCCCGGAAGGCAUCCCACCCUUCGUCUUCGUUCAUCGGUAACUUUACUUGAAGCUAUAUUUUUAUUCACCACAUGAUAUGUGUUUUGCUUGGAGCGUCAAUUUAUUUUGUUAGGAUUUUCUUUCUGUUAUUUAGAACAAUGUUUUGCAUAUUUUAUUUCAAUAAAAGUGGCAUUGAUAGCCUUUACUAUGCCUAUGUUAGAAGUCCACAUGUUGCUGUUUGAAAACAGAAAGUUUACCGCUGUUGCAAUAAUUCCCUAGAAAAGUCAGAAUGUGAUAAAAUGUUGAAACCUUUUGCAUAUUAAGCUCUGAUAAAUUUACUACAGUGGGAAGUUUCUUUAAUAAUUUUUGGAGCUAGGGAAGUAUGGAUGUUGCUGCAUUCUUUACAGACUGUCCUGUUUAGGCAGAUUGCUGUUAUGUUUGCAUUGUUUGCAUAUGUUUGCUUCUUUAAUGAUUCUAUUUGAGGAUAAGACUAUUAAAUAUGCAGAGGCCUUUAGUAUGCAAUUUUGAAUAAUAAUUUUAGUGAUUUUCUACAGUAGAGUAUGAUAAGGUUUUGGCAAUGGUUUAUACUAACUUAUCUCACGAGUCCUUGUUGAGUUUUGUGUGGAUGAAGCUUUUGAGAUUUAGGGAGAUCGUGAUAUGAGAGGAAUUAAGGAGACACAAAAUCUCAAGCUUGGGGAUGCCCAAGGCACCCCAAGAUAAUAUUUCAAGAAGUCUCAAGCAUCUAAGCUUGGGGAUGCCCCGGUUGGCAUCCCACCUUUCUUCUUCAACAAUUAUCGGUUAGUUUCGGUUGAUCCUAAGUUUUUGCUUCUUCACAUGAUGUUUGCCAUUCUUAGAAUGUCAUUUUAUUUUGCUUUGCUUUCUGUUUGAAUAGAAUACCAAGAUCUGAAAUUAUUAAAUGUUAGAGAGUCUUCAUAUAGUUGCAUAAUUAUUCGACUACUCAUUGAUCUUCACUUAUUUCUUUCGGAGUAGUUUAUCAUUUGCUCUAGUGCUUCACUUAUAUAUUUUUAGAGCAUGGUGGUGGUAUUAUAGAAAUAGAUGAACUCUCGUGCUUCACUUAUAUUAUUUUGAGAGUCCUAAACAGCAUGGUAGUUUGCUUAAAUAAUCCUAAUAUGCUUGGUAUUCAAAGAAUAGUUAAAAAAAUUCUUAUAGAGUAUUGAAUACUAAGAGAAGUUUGAUGCUUGAUGAUUGUUUUGAGAUAUGGAGGUAAUAAUAUCAAAGUCAUGCUAGUUGAGUAGUUGUGAAUUUGAGAAAUGCUUGUGUUGAAGUUUGCAAGUCCCGUAGCAUGCACGUAUGGUAAAUGUUGUGUAACAAAUUUGAAACAUGAGGUGUUAUUUGAUUGUCUUCCUUAUGAGUGGCGGCCGGGGACGAGCGAUGGUCUUUUCCUACCAAUCUAUCCCCCUAGGAGCAUGCGCGUAGUGCCGAGGUUUUUGAUGACUUGUAGAUUUUUGCAAUAAGUAUGUGAGUUCUUUAUGACUAAUGUUGAGUCCAUGGAUUAUACGCACUCUCACCCUUCCAUCCUUGCUAGCCUCUUCGAUACCGUGCAUUGCCCUUUCUCACAUUGAGAGUUGGCGCAAACUUCGCUGGUGCAUCCAAACCCCGUGAUAUGAUACGCUCUGUCACACAUAAACCUCCUUAUAUCUUCCUCAAAACAGCCACCAUACCUACCUAUUAUGGCAUUUCCAUAGCCAUUCCGAGAUAUAUUGCCAUGCAACUUUCCAUCAUUCCAUUCAUCAUGACACAUUCAUCAUUGUCAUAUUGCUUAGCAUGAUCAUGUAGUUGACAUAGUAUUUGUGGCAAAGCCACCGUUCAUAAUUCUUUCAUACAUGUCACUCUUGGUUCAUUGCAUAUCCCGGUACACCGUCGGAGGCAUUCAUAUAGAGUUAUCUUUGUUCUAGUAUCGAGUUGUAAUCAUUGAGUUGUAAAUAAAUAGAAGUGUGAUGAUCAUCAUUAUUAGAGCAUUGUCCCAAGUGAGGAAUAAAUAAAUAAAAGGCCAUAAAAAAGAGAAGCCCCCCCAAAAAAGAGAAAGGCCAUAAAAAAGGCCCAAAAAAUGAGAGAAAAAGAGAGAAGGGACAAUGUUACUAUCCUUUUACCACACUUGUGCUUCAAAGUAGCACCAUGAUCUUCGUAGUAGAGAGUCUCUCAUGUUAUCACUUUCAUAUACUAGUGGGAAUUUUUUAUUAUAGAACUUGGCUUGUAUAUUCCAACAAUGGGCCUCCUCAAGUGCCCUAGGUCUUCGUGAGCAAGCAAGUUGGAUGCACACCCAUUUAGUUUCUUUUGUUGAGCUUUCAUACAUUUAUAGCUCUAGUGCAUCCGUUGCAUCGCAAUCCCUACUCCUUGCAUUAACAUCAAUCGAUGGGCAUCUCCAUAGCCCAUUUAUUAGCCUUGUUGAUGUGAGACUUUAUCCUUUUUGUCUUCUACGCAUAACCCCCUCAUUAUAUUCUAUUCCACCCAUAGUGCUAUGUCCAUGGCUCGCGCUCAUAUAUUGCGUGAAAGUUUAUAGGUUUGAGAUUACUAAAGUAUGAAACAAUUGAUUGGCUUGUCAUCGGGGUUGUGCAUGAUGAGAGCAUUCUUGUGUGACGAAAAUGAAGCAUGACUAAACUAUAUGAUUUUGUAGGGAUGAACUUUCUUUGGCCAUGUUAUUUUGAGAAGACAUGAUUGCUUAGUUAGUAUGCUUGAAGUAUUACUACUUUUAUGUCAAUAUGAACUUUUGUCUUGAAUCUUUCAGAUCUGAAUAUUCAUGCCACAAUUAAGAAGAAUUACAUUGAAAUUAUGCCAAGUAGCACUCCGCAUCAAAAAUUCUGUUUUUAUCAUUUACCUACUCGAGGACGAGCAGGAAUUAACUUUGGGGAUGCUUGAUAGUCUCCAACGUAUCUAUAAUUUUUGAUUGCUCCAUGCUAUGUUAUCUACUGUUUUGGGCAAUAUUGGGCUUUAUUAUCCACUUUUAUAUUAUUUUUGGGACUAACCUAUUAACCGGAGGCCCAGCCCAGAAUUGUUGUUUUUUGCCUAUUUCAGUGUUUCGAAGAAAAGGAAUAUCAAACGAAGUCGAAACGGAACGAAAUCAACUGGAGAAGUUAUUUUUGGAAGGAAAGCUACUGGAUGGACUUGGGCCCCACGUCAGGAGCCAAGGGAGGUGCUCACGAGGGUGGGGGCGCCCCCCCUAGGGCGCGCCCCCUGCCUCGUGGGGCCCCCGAAGCUCCACCGACGUACUUCCUGCACCCAUAUAUACUCACAUACCCUAAAACUUCCCGAACAGACAAUAGAUCGGGAGUUCUGCCGCCAGAAGCCUCCGUAGCCACCAAAAACCAAUCUAGACCCGUUCUGGCACCCUGCCUUGGGGGGAAUCCUUCUCCGGUGGCCAUCUUCAUCAUCCCGGUGCUCUCCAUGAUGAGGAGGGAGUAGUUCUCCCUCGGGGCUGAGGGUAUGUACCAGUAGCUAUGUGUUUGAUCUCUCUCUCUCGUGUUCUUGAGGUGAUACGAUCUUGAUGUAUCGUGAGCUUUGCUAUUAUAGUUGGAUCCUAUGAUGUUUUCUCCCCUCUACUUUCUUGUAGUGAAUUGAGUUUCCCCUUUGAAGUUAUCUUAUCGGAUUGAGUCUUUAAAGAUUUGAGAACACUUAAUGUAUGUCUUGCCGUGCGUAUCUGUGGUGACAACGGGAUACCACGUGAUUCACUUGAUGUAUGUUUUGGUGAUCAACUUGCGGGUUCCGCCUAUGAACCUAUGCAUAGGGGUUGGCACAUGUUUUCGUCGUGAUUCUCCGGUAGAAACUUUGGGGCACUCUUUGAGGACCUUUGUGUUGGUUGAAUAGAUGAAUCUGAGAUUGUGUGACGCAUAUCGUAUAAUCAUACCCACGGAUACUUGAGGUGACAUUGGAGUAUCUAGGUGACAUUGGAGUAUCUAGGUGACAUUAGGGUUUUGGUUGAUUUGUGUCUUAAGGUGUUAUUCUAGUACAAACUCUAGGCUGUUUGUGACACUUAUAGGAAUAGCCGAACAUAUUGAUUGGAAAGAAUAACUUUGAGGUGGUUUCGUACCCUACCAUAAUCUAUUCGUUUGUUCUCCGCUAUUAGUGACUUUGGAGUGACUCUUUGUUGCAUGUUGAGGGAUAGUUAUAUGAUCCAAUUAUGUUAUUAUUGUUGAGAGGACAUGCACUAGUGAAAGUAUGAACCCUAGGCCUUGUUUCAACGCAUUGCAAUACCGUUUACGCUCACUUUUAUCAUUAGUUACCUUGCUGUUUUUAUAUUUUCAGAUUACAAAAACUAUUAUCUACUAUCCAUAUACCACUUGUAUCACCAUCUCUUCGCCGAACUAGUGCACCUAUACAAUUUACCAUUGUAUUGGGUGUGUUGGGGACACAAGAGACUCUUUGUUAUUUGGUUGCAGGGUUGCUUGAGAGAGACCAUCUUCAUCCUACGCCUCCUACAGAUUGAUAAACUUUAGGUCAUCCACUUGAGGGAAAUUUGCUACUAUCCUACAAACCUCUACACUUGGAGGCCCAACAACGUCUACAAGAAGAAGGUUGUGUAGUAGACAUCAGCUAAUAAUAUGCAAAACCCUAAGCUUGGGGAUGCUAGUUUUGUUAUGUCCUCUACUUGUUGCAAUGAUCAUGAUUGGGGUGAUUCUUCUUAUGAUCUUGAAACUUUAUUUAAGCCCCAUGAUGAAUAUGAGAUUGAUAAUAGUGUUUGAAAUAUUAUUGAAAGUGGGUUUGGAAGAGUGUCAACUUUAGAUCCCACAUAUUUUGAGAAUGUUCAAUCUUAUGAAAUUUUUGAUAAAAGUGGGUUUGGAGAUGUCAUAAUCCCACUAUGUUGGAAGAGUGUCAAUUUUGCAUGCAUGUGGAUCGUGUUGAAAAUAUUUUAUGUGAUAGCUAUUUUGUUGAAUCUUAUGAUACUACAUGUAAUUAUUAUGAGAGAGGAAAAUAUGGUGGUAGAAAUUUUCAUGUUACUAAAUUACCUCUCGUUAUGUUGAGAUUGCUAUUGUUUCUUUCCGCUUCCUUGCAUAUGCUAAUUUUUGCUUGCCUUGAUAAUUUGUUUGCCUAUAAGAUGCCUAUGCAUAGGAAGUAUGUUAGACUUAGAUGUGUUUGUCACGUGUUUUAUGAUGCUCUCUUUGUGCUUCAAUUCUUGUCUUUCAUGUGAGCAUCGUUGAAAUCUUAUGCCUAGCUAUAAGGCUUAAAAAACGCUUGUUGGGAGACAACCCAAUAUUUUUCCUUGCUCUUAUUCAAUAAAUAAUUUAUCUAGCCUCUGUUUUGGUUGUGUUUUUUGUGUUUAAUUAGUGUUUGUGCCAAGUAGAACCAUUGGGAAGACUUGGGGAAAGUCUUUUUGAUCUUGCUGUAAAAAACAGAAACGUUAGCGCUCACGAGAAUUGUUGCCAUUUUUAUUUGGAAGGUGAUAUUUAGUUAAUUCUUUUUGCAGAUGAUUAAUUGAUAAAUUACUCACGUUCAGAAGUUUAUUUUAGAAUUUUUGGGGUUUCAUAACUUGCGUUAGCUACAGAUUACUACAGACUGUUCUGUUUUUGACAGAUUCUGUUUUUUCUUGUGUUGUUUGCUUAUUUUGACGAAUCUAUGGCUAGUAAAAGAGUUUAUAAACCAUAGAGAAGUUGGAAUACAGUAGGUUUAACACCAAUAUAAAUAAAUAAUGAGUUCAUUACAGUAUCUUUAAGUGGUGUUUUGUUUUCUUUCGCUAACGGAGCUCACGAGAUUUUCUAUUUUGAGUUUUGUGUUGUGAAGUUUUCAAGUUUUGGGUAAAGAUUUGAUGGAUUAUGGAACAAAGAGUGGCAAGAGCCUGAGCUUGGGGAAUCCCAUGGUACCCCAAGGUAAAAUUCAAGUACACCAAAAAGCCUAAGCUUGGGGAUGCCCCGGAUGGCAUCCCCUCUUUCGUCUUCGUCUAUCGGUAACUUUACUUGGAGCUAUAUUUUUAUUCACCACAUGAUAUGUGUUUUGCUUGGAGAAUCUUUUAUGAUUUGAGUCUUUGCUUUUUAGUUUACCACAAUCAUACUUGCUGUACACAUCUUUUGAGAGAGACUCGCAUGAUUUGAAAUUUAUUAGAAUACUCUAUGUGCUUCUCUAAUAUCUUUUGAGCUAUAUAGUUUUUGCUCUAGUGCUUCACUUAUAUCUUUUAGAGCACGGUGGUGGAUUUGUUUUAUAGAAACUAUUGUUCUCUCAUGCUUCACUUAUAUUAUUUUGGGAGUCCCUUAGAACAACAUGGCAAUAAUAAAAACUUUCAUAUAAGUGCAUUGAAUACUAUGAGAAGUAUGAUACUUGAUUAUUGUUUUGAGAUAUGGAGAUGGUGAUAUUAGAGUCAUGCUAGUUGAGUAGUUGUGAAUUUGAGAAAUACUUGUGUUGAAGUUUGUGAUUCCCGUAGCAUGCACGUACGGUGAACCGUUAUGUGAUGAAGUCGGAGCAUGAUUUAUUUAUUGAUUGUCUUCCUUAUGGGUGGCGGUCGGGGACGAGGAUGGUCUUUUCCUACCAAUCUAUCCCCCUAGGAGCAUGCGCGUAAUACUUUGCUUUGAUAACUUGUAGAUUUUUGCAAUAAGUAUGUGAGUUCUUUAUGACUAAUGUUGAUUCCAUGGAUUAUACGCACUCUCACCCUUCCACAAUUGCUAGCCUCUCUAGUAUCAUGCAACUUUCGCCGGUACCAUAAACCCACCAUAUACCUUCCUCGAAACAGCCACCAUACCUACCUAUUAUGGCAUUUCCAUAGCCAUUCCGAGAUACAUUGCCAUGCAACUUUCCAUCGUUCCGUUAUUAUGACACGCUUCAUCAUUGUCAUAUUGCUUGCAUGAUCAUGUAGUUGACAUCGUAUUUGUGGAAAGCCACCGUUCAUAAUUCUUUCACACAUGUCACUCAUGCAUCAUUGCACAUCCCGGUACACCGCUGGAGGCAUUCACAUAGAGUCAUAUUUUGUUCUAAGUAUUGAGUUGUAAUUCUUGAGUUGUAAGUAAAUAAAGUGUGAUGACCAUCAUUAUUAGAGCAUUGUCCCAGUGAGGAAAGGAUGAUGGAGACUAUGAUUCCCCCACAAGUCGGGAUGAGACUCCAGACGAAAAAUAAAAAAGAAGAGAAAAAAGAGGCCAAAAGAGAAAAAAAGGGAGAAGGCCCAAAUUAAAAAAUGAAAAAGAGAGAAAAAGAGAGAAGGGACAAUGUUACUAUCCUUUUUCCACACUUUUGCUUCUAAGUAGCACCAUGUUGUUCAUAAAGAGAGUCUCUUUUGAUAUCACUUUCAUAUACUAGUGGGAAUUUUUCAUUAUAGAACUUGGCUUGUAUAUUUCAAUGAUGGGCUUCCUCAAAAUGCCCUAGGUCUUCGUGAGCAAGCAAGUUGGAUGCACACCCACUUAGUUUUUUUUGUUGAGCUUUCAUACACUUAUAGCUCUAGUGCAUCCGUUGCAUGGCAAUCCCUACUCACUCACAUUGAUAUCUAUUGAUGGGCAUCUCCAUAGCCUGUUGAUACGCCUAGUCGAUGUGAGACUAUCUUCUCAUUUUUUUGUCUUCUCCACAACCACCAUUCUAUUCCACCAUAGUGCUAUAUCCAUGGCUCACGCUCAUAUAUUGCGUGAAGAUUAAAAAAGUUUGAGAACAUCAAAAGUAUGAAACAAUUGCUUGGCUUGUCAUCGGGGUUGUGCAUGUUUUAAAUAUUUUGUGUGGUGAAGACAGAGCAUAGCUAGACUAUAUGAUUUUGUAGGGAUAACUUUCUUUGGCCAUGUUAUUUUGAGAAGACAUAAUUUCUUAGUUAGUAUGCUUGAAGUAUUAUUAUUUUUAUGUCAAUAUUAAACUUUUAUCUUGAAUCUUAUGGAUCUGAACAUUCAUGCCACAAUAAAGAAAAAAUACAUCGAGAAAUAUGUUAGAAAGCAUUCCACAUCAAAAAUUCUUCUUUUAUCAUUUACCUACUCGAGGACGAGCAUGAAUUAAGCUUGGGGAUGCUGAUACGUCUCCAACGUAUCUAUAAUUUUUGAUUGCUCCAUGCUAUUAUAUUAUCUAUUUUGGAUGUUAAUGGGCUUUAUUUUACACUUCUAUAUCAUUUUUGGGACUAACCUACUAACCGGAGGCCCAGCCCAAAUUGCUGUUUUUUUGCCUAUUUUAGGGUUUCGAAGAAAAGGAAUAUCAAACGGAGUCCAAAUGGAAUGAAACCUUCGGGAACGUGAUUUUCUCAACAAACGUGCUCCAGGAGACUUGGAGUGGCCGUCAAGAAACAAGGGAGGAAGGCAUGAGGCAGGGGGCGUGUCUACCCCCUGGGCGCGCCCUCCACCCUCGUGGGCCCUCCGUUGCUCCACUGACGUACUUCUUCCUCCUAUAUAUCCACGUACCCCCCAAACUGUUGGGAAACGUAAUAAUUUCAAAAUUUUCCUACGCACACACAUGAUCAUGGUGAUGCAUAGCAACGAGAGGGGAGAGUGUUGUCCACGUACCCUCGUAGACCGUUAAGCGGAAGCAUUAUGACAACACGGUUGAUGUAGUCGUACGUCUUCACGAUUGACUGAUCCUCAGUACCGAACGUAUGGCACCUCCGCGUUCAGCACACGUUCAGCUCGGUGACGUCCCAUGAACUCACGAUCCAGUAGAGCUCGUGGAAGAGUUUCGUCAGCACGACGGCGUGGGGACGAUGUUGAUGAAGUUACUGCAGCAGGGCUUCGCCUAAACACCGCUACAGUAUGACCGAGGUGGAUUAUGGUGGAAGGGGGGCACCGCACACGGCUGGGAGAGAUCUUUGUGAUCAACUUGUGUGUCUAGAGGUGCCUCCCUACCCCUAUAUAUAAAGGAGCAAGGGGGAGGCCGGCCGGCCCUUGUUGGCGCGCCUAGGAGGAGGAAUCCUCCUCCUAGUAGGAGUAGGAUUCUUCCCUUUCCUACUCCCACUAGGAGGGGGAAAGACAGGGAGAGAAAAAGAAGGAAAGGGGGAGCCGCCCCCCUUCUCCUAGUCCAAUUCGGACAGGGGGAAGGGGGCGCGCUGCCUGCCCUAGGCCAGCCCCUCUCUCUUUCCCUUAUGGCCCAACAAGGCCCAUUAGCCCCCGGGGGGUUUCGGUAACCCCUCCGGUACUCCGGUAAAAUCCCGAUUUCACCAGGAACUAUUCUGAUGUCCAAAUGUAGGCUUCCAAUAUAUCAAUCUUUAUUUAUCGACCAUUUCGAGACUCCUCGUCAUGUGCGUGAUCAAAUCCGGGACUCUGAACUAAUUUCGGUACAUCAAAACAUAUAAACUCAUAAAACUGAUUGUCACAGAACUUUAAGCGUGCGGAGCCUACGGGUUCGAGAACUAUGUAGACAUGACCGAGACACGUCUCCGGUCAAUAACCAAUACCGGAACCUGGAUGCUCAUAUUGGUUCCAACAUAUUCUACGAAGAUCUUUAUCGGUCAAACCGCACAACACUAUACGUUGUUCUCUUUGUCAUCGGUAUGUUACUUGCCCGAGAUUCGAUCGUCGGUAUCUCAAUACCUAGUUUCAAUCUCGUUACCGACAAGUCUCUUUACUCAUUCCGUAAAACAUCAUCCCAUAACUAACUCAUUAGUUAUCAUGCUUGCAAGGCUUAUAGUGAUGUGUAUUAUCGAGAGGGCCCAGAGAUACCUCUCCGACAAUCAGAGUGACAAAUCCUAAUCUUGAUCAAUGCCAACUCAACAAGUACCAUCGGAGACACCUGUAGAGCACCUUUAUAAUCACCCAGUUAUGUUGUGAUGUUUGGUAGCACACAAAGUGUUCCUCUGGUAUUCGGGAGUUGCAUAAUCUCAUAGUCAUAAGAACAUGUAUAAGUCAUGAAGAAAGCAAUAGCAGUAAACAAACGAUCAAGUGCUAAGCUAACAGAAUGGGUCAAGUCAAUCACAUCAUUCUCCUAAUGAUGUGAUACGUCUCCAACGUAUCUAUAAUUUUUGAUUGCUCCAUGCUAUAUUUUAUACUGUUUUGGACUAUAUUGGGCUUUAUUUUCCACUUUUAUAUUAUUUUUGGGACUAACCUAUUAACCGGAGGCCCAGCCCAGAAUUGCUGUUUUUUUCCUAUUUCAGUGUUUCGAAGAAACGGAAUAUCAAACGGAGUCCAAACAGAAUAAAAUCUUCGGGAACGUGAUCCAGGAGACUUGGACCCUGCUCCAAGGAACAAAAGAGGCGGUCACGAGGGUGGGGGGCGCCCCCCUGCCUCGUGGCCCCCUCGUUGCUCCUCCAGCGUACUUCUUCCUCCUAUAUAUACACACGUACCCCCAAACGAUCAGAAAAGUUGCCAAAAACCUAAUUCCACCACCGCAACUUUUUGUAUCCAUGAGAUCCCAUCUUGGGGCCUGUUCCGGAGCUUCGCCGGAAGAGGGCCGUCAUCAUGGAGGGCUUCUACAUCAUCCUAGCCCCUCCUAUGAAGUGUGAGUAGUUUACCUUAGACCUCAGGUCCAUAGUUAGUAGCUAGAUGGCUUCUUCUCUCACUUUGAAUCUCAAUACAAAGUUCUCCCCCUCUCUUGUGGAGAUCUAUUCGAUGUAAUCUUCUUUUGGCAGUGUGUUUGUUGAGACCGAUGAAUUGUGGGUUUAUGAUCAAGUCUAUCUAUGAAUAAUAUUUGAAUCUUCUCUGAAUUCUUUUAUGUAUGAUUGGUUAUCUUUGCAAGUCUCUUCGAAUUAUCCGUUUGGUUUGGCCAACUAGAUUGGUAGUUCUUUCCAUGGGAGAAGUGCUUAGCUUUGGGUUCGAUCUUGCGGUGUCCUUACCCAGUGACAGAAGGGGCAGCAAGGCACGUAUUGUAUCAUUGCCAUCGAGGAUAACAAGAUGGGGUUUAUUUCAUAUUGCAUGAAUUUAUCUCUCUGCAUCAUGUCAUCUUGCUUAAGGCGUUACUCUAUUUUUAACUUAAUACUCUAGAUGCAUGUUGGAUAGCGGUCGAUGAGUGGAGUAAUAGUAGUAGAUGCAGAAUCGUUUCAAUCUACUUGUCACGGACGUGAUGCCUAUAUACAUGAUCAUGCCUAGAUAUUCUCAUAACUAUGCUCAAUUCUGUCAAUUGCUCAACAGUAAUUUGUUCACCCACCAUAGAAUACUUAUGCUCUUGAGAGAAGCCACUAGUGAAACCUAUGGCCCCCGGGUCUAUUCUCAUCAUAUCAAUCUCCAUCACUUUAAUAUUGCUUUGUUUUUACUUUGCUUUUACUUUUUACUUUGCAUCUUUAUACCAAAAAUACCAAAACUAUUAUAUCUAUCAGAUCUCACUCUCGUAAGUGACUGUGAAGGGCUUGACAACCCCUAAUCGCGCUGGUUGCGAGUAGCUAUCGCUUUGUGCAGGUACGAGGGACUUGAGCGUGGGCUCGUACUGGAUUGAUACCUUGGUUCUCAAAAACUGAGGGAAAUACUUACGCUACUAUGCUGCAUCAUCCCUUCUUCUUCGGGGAAAACCAAUGCAAGCUCAAGACGUAGAAAGAAGGAUUUCUGGCACCGUUGCCGGGGAGUCUACGCAAAAAGUCAACAUACCAAGUACCCAUCACAAUCCCUAUCUCUCGCAUUACAUUAUUUGCCAUUUGCCUCUCGUUUUCCUCUCCCCCCAAUUCACCCUUGCCGUUUUAUUCGCCCUCUCUCUCCCUAUCCUCCCUCUCUAUUUGCCCUUUUUGCCCGUUUGCUUUUGUUUGCUUGUGUGCUAGUUUGCUUGCUUGUCACGAUGGCUCAAGAUACUACUAAAUUGUGUGACUUCACCAAUACCAAUAAUAAUGAUUUCCUUAGCACUCCGAUUGCUCCUCUUACUGAUGCUGAAUCUUGUGAAAUUAAUACUACUUUGUUGAAUCUUGUUAUGAAAGAUCAAUUCGCCGGCCUUCCUAGUGAAGAAGCCGCUACUCAUCUGAAUAGCUUCGUUGAUUUAUGUGAUAUGCAAAAGAAAAAAGAUGUCAAUAAUGAUGUCUUUAAAUUGAAUCUAUUUCCUUUUUCACUUAGAGAUCGUGCUAAAGCUUGGUUUUCGUCUUUGCCUAAGAAUAGUAUUGAUUCAUGGAACAAGUGCAAAGAUGCUUUUAUCUCUAAGUAUUUUCCUCCCGCUAAGAUCAUCUCUCUUAGAAACGAUAUUAUGAACUUUAAACAACUUGAUCAUGAACAUGUUGCACAAGCUUGGGAGAGAAUGAAAUUAAUGAUACGUAAUUGCCCUACUCAUGGUUUGAAUUUGUGGAUGAUUGUACAAAAAAAAUUAUGCCGGAUUGAAUUUUGCUUCUAGAAAUCUUUUAGAUUCGGCCGCGGGAGGCACUUUUACGGAAAUCACUUUAGGAAAUGCUACUAAACUCCUAGAUAAUAUUAUGGUUAAUUAUUCUCAAUGGCAUACUGAAAGAUCUUCUAAUAAAAAAGUGCAUGCGAUAGAAGAAAUUAAUGUGUUGAGUGGAAAGAUGGAUGAACUUAUGAAAUUAUUUGCCACUAAGAGUGUUUCUUAUGAUCCUAAUGAUAUGUAUUUGUCUACUUUGAUUGAGAACAAUAAUGAAUCUAUGGAUGUGAAUUUUGUUGGUAGGAAUAAUUUUGGUAACAACACUUAUAGAGGGAAUUUUAAUCCUAGGCCAUAUCCUAGUAAUCCUUCUAAUAAUUAUGGGAAUUCCUACAACAACUCUUAUGGAAAUUAUAAUAAGAUGCCCUCUGAAUUUGAGAAUAGUGUUAAAGAGUUCAUGAAUUCACAAAAGAAUUUUAAUGCUUUGCUUGAGGAGAAAUUGCUUAAAGUUGAUGAUUUGGCUAGAAACAUUGAUAGAAUUUCUCUUGAGGUUGAUUCUUUAAAGCUUAGAUCUAUUCCUCCUAAGCAUGAUAUCAAUGAGUCUCUCAAAUCCAUGAGAAUUUCCAUUGAUGAGUGCAAGGAAAGAACCGCUAGGAUGCGUGCCUCCAAAGAUGCCUCUAUUAAAGCGUGUUCUUCCAAUACCUAUGAAAAUCAAGAUGAAGAUCUAAAAGUUAUUGAUGUGUCCCCUAUUAAAUCUUUAUUUUUCAAUAUUAAUCUUGAUGAAGCUGAAUAUGAUCUUCCUUUACCUAGAAGGCGUUCUAAAAAUUCGGAGUGUUUAGAUCUUAAUGAUGAAAUUGAUGAAAGUGGGAUUGAAAGAAAUAAAAAUCUAGAUGUUGCUAAACCCACUAUAUUGGAUUUCAAGGAAUUUAAUUAUGAAAGUUACUCUUUAAUUGAUUGUAUUUUCUUGUUGCAAUCCGUGCUAAAUUCUCCACAUGCUUAUAGUCAAAAUAAAGCCUUCACCGAACAUAUUGUUGAUGCCUUGAUGCAAUCUUAUGAAGAAAAACUUGAGUUGAAAGUUUCUAUCCCUAGAAAACUCUAUGAUGAGUGGGAACCAACUAUUAAAAUUAAAAUUAAAGAUCAUGAGUUUUAUGCUUUGUGUGAUUUGGGUGCUAGUGUCUCUACUAUUCCCAAGACUUUGUGUGAUUUAUUAGAUUUCCGUAAUUUUGAUGAUUGCUCUCUAAACUUGCAUCUUGUGGAUUCCACUAUUAAGAAACCUAUGGGAAGGAUUAAUGAUGUUCUUAUUGUUGCAAAUAGGAAUUAUGUGCCCGUAGAUAGCAUUGUUCUUGAUAUAGAUUGCAAUCCUUCUUGCCCUAUUAUUCUUGGUAGACCUUUCCUUAGAACGUUUGGUGCGAUUAUUGAUAUGAAGGAAGAGAAUAUUAGAUUUAAACUUCCAUUAAAAAAGGGCAUGGAACACUUUCCAAGAAAGAAAAUAAAAUUACCAUAUGAAACUAUCAUGAUAGCCACUUAUGGAUUGCCUACCAAAGAUGGCAAUACCUAGAUCUAUCCUCGCUUUUAUGCCUAGCUAGGGGCGUUAAACGACAGCGCUUGUUGGGAGGCAACCCAAUUUUAUUUUUACUCCUUGCCUUUUGCUCCUGUUUAGUAAUAAAUAAAUUAUUUAGCCUCUUUUUUGGUUGUGUUUUUUGUGUUUAAUUAGUGUUUGUGCCAAGUAGAACCGUUGGGAAGACUUGGGGAAAGUCUUGUUGAACUUGCUGUAAAAAACAGAAACUUUAGCGCUCACGAGAACUGCUGUCAUUUUUAUUUGAAGAGUGAUAUAUAGUUAAUUCUUUUUGCAGAUGAUUAAUAUAUAAAUUACUCACGUCCAGAAAUUUAUUUUAGAAUUUUUGGGGUUCCAGAUAUUGCGCUAGCUACAGAUUACUACAGACUGUUCUGUUUUUGACAGAUUCUGUUUUUCGUGUGUUGUUUGCUUAUUUUGAUGAAUCUAUGGCUAGUAAAAUAGUUUAUAAUCCAUAGAGAAGUUGGAAUACAGUAGGUUUAACACCAAUAUAAAUAAAGAAUGAGUUCAUUACAGUACCUUGAAGUGGUCUUUUGUUUUCUUUCGCUAACGGAGCUCACGAGUUUUCUAUUUUGAGUUUUGUGUUGUGAAGUUUUCAAGUUUUGGGUGAAUUCUUUUGAUGGAUCAUGGAACAAGGAGUGGAAAGAGCCUAAGCUUGGGGAUGCCCAUGUCACCACCAAGAUAAUCCAAGGACACCAAAAAGUCAAAGCUUGGGGAUGCCCCAGAAGGCAUCCCCUCUUUCGUCCACUUCCAUCGGUAAUUUACUUGGAGCUAUAUUUUUAUUCACCAACAUGAUAUGUGUUUUGCUUGGAGCGUCUUGUAUUAUUUGUGUCUUUGUGUCUUAGUAUACCACAAUAAUCCUUGCUGUAUACACCUUUUGAGAGAGCCAUACAUGAAUUAAAAUUUUAUAGAAUACUCUAUGUGUUUCACUUAUAUCUUUUGAGCUAAGUAAUUUUGCCCUAUGUGCUUCACUUAUAUCUUUUGAGCUAAGUAAUUUUGCUCUAUAUGCUUCACUUAGAUCUUUUAGAGCACGGUGGUGGAUUCGUUUUAAAGAAAAUAUUGAUCUCUCAUGCUUCACUUAAAUUAUUUUGAGAGUCUCUUAAUAGCAUGGUAAUUUGCUUAAUAAUAAUAUGGUUGGUAUUCAAGAUUUAUGAAACUUUCUUUUGAGUGUGUUGAAUACUAAGAAAAGAUUGAAGCAUGAUAAUUGUUUUGAGAUAUGGAGGUGAUAAUAUUAAAGUCAUGCUAGUUGAGUAGUUGUGAAUUUAAAGAAUACUUGUGUUAAGGUUUGUGAUUCCCGUAGCAUGCACGUAUGGUGAACCGUUAUGUAACGAAGUCGGAGCAUGAUUUAUUUAUUUAUUGUCUUCCUUAUGAGUGGAGGUCGGGGACGAGCGAUGGUCUUUUCCUACCAAUCUAUCCCCCUAGGAGCAUGCGCGUAAUACUUUGCUUUGAUAACUUCUAGAUUUUUGCAAUAAGUAUAUGAGUUCUUUAUGACUAAUGUUGAGUCCAUGGAUUAUACGCACUCUCACCCUUCCACCUUUGCUACCCUCUCUAAUACCGCGCACCUUUCGCCGGUAUCAUACACCUACCAUAUACCUUCCUCAAAACAGCCACCAUACCUACCUAUUAUGGCAUUUCCAUAGCCAUUCUGAGAUAUAUUGCCAUGCAACCUUCCACCAUCUAGUUCAUCAUGACACAUUCAUCAUUGUCAUAUUGCUUAGCAUGAUCAUGUAGUUGACAUAAGUAUUUGUGGCAAAGCCACCGUUCAUAAUUUCUUCAUACUUGUCACUCUUGAUUCAUUGCAUAUCCCGGUACACCGCCGGAGGCAUCCAUAUAGAGUCAUACUUUGUUUUACAAUCGAGUUGUAAUCAUUGAGUUGUAAAUAAAUAAAAGUGUGAUGAUCAUCAUUCAAUAGAGCAUUGUCCCAAUAAAUAAAAGGAGAAAGGCCAAAGAAAAAAAAGAAGCCCCCCCCCCAAAAAAAGAAAAUAAAUAAAAAGGGGCAAUGCUACUAUCCUUUUUCCACACUUGUGCUUCAAAGUAGCACCAUGAUAUAGCGAGUCUCAUAUAUUGUGCUUCAAAGUAGCACCAUGUCCUUCAUAUAGAGAGUCUCAUAUGUUGUCACUUUCAUAUACUAGUGGGAAUUUUACAUUAUAGAACUUGGCUUGUAUAUUCCAAUAAUGGGCUUCCUCAAAUUGCCCUAGGUCUUCGUGAGCAAGCAAGUUGGAUGCACACCCACUAGUUUCUCUUGUUGAGCUUUCAUACACUUAUAGCUCUAGUGCAUCCGUUGCAUGGCAAUCCCUACUCACUCACAUUGAUAUCUAUUGAUGGGCAUCUCCAUAGCCCAUUGAUAUGCCUAGAUGAUGUGAGACUAUCUUCCCCUCCUUUUUGUCUUCUCCACAACCACCAUUCUAUUCCACCUAUAAUGCUAUAUCCAUGGCUCACGCUCAUGUAUUGCGUGAAGAUUGAAAAAGUUUUGAAAAAGUUAGAGUAUGAAACAAUUUCUUGGCUUGUCAUCAGGGUUGUGCAUGAUUUGAAUAGUUUGUGUGGUGAAGAUGGAGCAUAGCCAGACUAUAUGAUUUUGUAGGGAUAACUUUCUUUGGCCAUGUUAUUUUGAGAAGACAUAAUUGCUUUGUUAGUAUGCUUGAAGUAUUAUUAUUUUUAUGUCAAUAUAAACUUUUGUCUUGAAUCUUUCUAAUCUGAAUAUUCAUACCACAAUUAAGAAGAUUUGCAUUGAAAAUUAUGCCAAGUAGCACUCCGCAUCAAAAAUUCUCUUUUUAUCAUUUACCUACUCGAGGACGAGCAGGAAUUAAGCUUGGGGAUGCCUGAUACGUCUCCAACGUAUCUAUAAUUUUUGAUUGCUCCAUGCUAUAUUUUCUACUAUUUUGGACUAUAUUGGGCUUUAUUUUCCACUUCCAUAUUAUUUUUGGGACUAACCUAUUAACCAGAGGCCCAGCCCAGAAUUGUUGUUUUUUGCCUAUUUCAGUGUUUCGAAGAAACGGAAUAUCAAACGGAGUCCAAACGGAAUAAAAUCUUCGGGAACGUGAUUUUCUCACCGAACAUGAUCCAGGAGACUUGGACCCUGCUCCAAGGAACAAAAGAGGCGGUCACGAGGGUGGGGGUGCCCCCCUAGGGCGCACCUCCUUGCCUCGUGGGCCCCUCGUUGCUCCUUCGGCGUACUUCUUCCUCCUAUAUAUACACACGUACCCCCAAACGAUCAGAACAGGAGCCAAAAACCUAAUUCCACCGCCGCAACUUUCUGUAUCCACGAGAUCCCAUCUUGGGGCCUGUUCCGGAGCUCCGCCGGAAGAGGACCGUCAUCACGGAGGGCUUCUACAUCAUCCUAGCCCCUCCGAUGAAGUGUGAGUAGUUUACCUCAGACCUUCGGGUCCAUAGUUAGUAGCUAGAUGGCUUCUUCUCUCUCUUUGAAUCUCAAUACAAAGUUCUCCCCCUCUCUUGUGGAGAUAUAUUCGAUGUAAUCUUCUUUUUGCGGUGUGUUUGUUGAGACCGAUGAAUUGUGGGUUUAUGAUCAAGUCUAUCUAUGAAUAAUAUUUGAAUCUUCUCUGAAUUCUUUUAUGUAUGAUUGGUUAUCUUUGCAAGUCUCUUCGAAUUAUCCAUUUGGUUUGGCCAACUAGAUUGGUAGUUCUUGCCAUGGGAGAAGUGCUUAGCUUUGGGUUCGAUCUUGCGGUGUCCUUACCCAGUGACAGAAGGGGCAGUAAGGCACGUAUUGUAUCGUUGCCAUCGAGGAUAACAAGAUAGGGUUUAUUUCAUAUUGCAUGAAUUUAUCUCUCUACUUCAUGUCAUCUUGCUUAAGGCGUUACUCUGUUUUUAACUUAAUACUCUAGAUGCAUGCUGGAUAGCGGUCGAUGAGUGGAGUAAUAGUAGUAGAUGCAGAAUCGUUUCAAUCUACUUGUCACGGACGUGAUGCCUAUAUACAUGAUCAUGCCUAGAUAUUCUCAUAACUAUGCUCAAUUUUGUCAAUUGCUCAACAGUAAUUUGUUCACCCACCAUAGAAUACUUAUGCUCUUGAGAGAAGCCACUAGUGAAACCUAUGGCCCCGGGUCUAUUCUCAUCAUAUCAAUCUCCAUCACUUUAAUCUUGCUUUAUUUUUACUUUGCUUUUACUUUUUGCUUUGCAUCUUUAUACCAAAAAUAUUAUAUCUAUCAGAUCUCACUCUUGUAAGUGACCGUGAAGGGCUUGAAAACCCCUAAUCGUGUUGGUUGCGAGUAGCUAUCGCUUUGUGCGGGUACGAGGGACUUGAGCAUGGGCUCCUACUGGAUUGAUACCUUGGUUCUCAAAAACUGAGGGAAAUACUUACGCUACUCUGCUGCAUCAUCCCUUCCUCUUCGAGGAAAACCAAUGCAAGCUCAAGAGGUAGCAUGAUGUGACCCCAUUGAUCAAAUAACAACUCUUGUCUAUGGUUAGGAAACUUAACCAUCUUUGAUCAAUGAGCUAGUCAAGUAGAGGCAUACUAGUGACACUAUGUUUGUCUAUGUAUUCACACAUGUAUUAUUUUUCUGGUUAAUACAAUUCUAGCAUGAAUAAUAAACAUUUAUCAUCUAAUAAGGAAAUAAAUAAUAACUUUAUUAUUGCCUCUAGGGCAUAUUUCCUUCACAAACAUCCAGGAGCACCACGAAAACCUAAUUCCACCGCCGCAACCUUCUGUACUCGAGAGAUCCCAUCUCGGGGCCUUUUCUGGAGCUCCACCGGAGGGGGCAUUGAUAACGGAGGGCCUCUACAUCAACUCCAUGGCCUCUCCGGUGAUGUGUGAGUAGUUUACUUCAGACCUACGGGUCCAUAGUUAUUAGCUACAUGGCUUCUUCUCUCUCUUUGGAUCUCAAUACAAGGUUCUCCUCGAUUUUCUUGGAGAUCUAUUCGAUGUAAUCUUCUUUUGCAGUGUGUUUGUCGAGAUCCGAUGAAUUGUGGGUUUAUGAUCCAGAUUAUCUAUGAACAAUAAUUGAUUCUCCUCUAAAUUCUUUUAUGUAUGAUUGGUUUAUCUUUGCAAGUCUCUUCGAAUUAUCAAUUUGGUUUGGCCUACUAGAUUGAUCUUUCUUGCAUUGGGAGAAGUGCUUAGCUUUGGGUUCAAUCUUGCGGUGUUCGAUCCCAGUGACAGAAAGGGAACCGAUACGUAUUGUAUUGUUGCCACCGAGGAUAAAAAGAUGGGGUUUAUAUCAUAUUGCAUGAGUUUAUCCAUCUACAUCAUGUCAUCUUCCUUAAAGCAUUACUUUGUUCUCUUGAACUUAAUACUCUAGAUGCAUGCUGGAUAGCGGCCGAUGUGUGGAGUAAUAGUAGUAGAUGCGGGCAGGAGUUGGUCUACUUGUCUCAGAUGUGAUGCCUAUAUACAUGAUCAUACCUAGAUAUUCUCAUAACUAUGCUCAAUUCUAUCAAUUGCUCGACAGUAAUUCGUUUACCCACCGUAAUACUUAUGCUCUUGAGAGAAGCCACUAGUGAAACCUAUGGCCCCCGGGUCUAUCUUCCAUCAUAUUAAUCUUCCAAUACUUAGUUAUUUCCUUUGCCAUUUAUUUUACUUUGCAUCUUUAUUUCUCUUUAUCAUAAAAAUACCAAUAAUAUUAUCUUAUCAUAUCUAUCAGAUCUCACUCUCGUAAGUGACCGAGAAGGGCUUGACAACCCCUUUAUCGCGUUGGUUGCGAGGUUCUUAUUUGUUUGUGUAGGUGCAUGGGACUUGAGCAUGAUCUCCUACUGGAUUGAUACCUUGGUAACUGAGGGAAAUACUUAUGCUGCUUUACUGCAUCACCAUUUUCUCUUCAAGGGAAAACCAACGCAGUGCUCAAGAGGUAGCAAACCUCACCAUCCUGAAGCCAUUAGCAGCAUGAUAAUUGGUCUCUCUCUUUUCCCAGUGGGAUUUGACCUCUCUGGGGUGAUCUGCUUCUUCAUGUGUGGCGAGCACUCUGGUAGUCAGGCCAUGUGUGGAGGCCAAGGAUAUCGGCAACUGACAGUGUCAUACAUCAGGGGUGGCUCAUUUGAGGGAGCCCGCCCUCACACUCCACCAGGGCCCACAAGGACCAAGACAGGGGUGAAACCCUAAGGAGGGCGCCGAAGACCUUCUUGUCUACCAAGGCAAGGGUGGCGGCGGAGGAGAUCACAUCUACCUCUCUGUAAACCCUAGACCUUGAUAGAUUGCAACUAAACAUGGUUUGAAUUCUAAGAAUGCCUUUCACUUAAUCAAGUAUGGUUCUUCAAUUUUAUUGACGUGGAUGCUGCCAUUGAUAGCCAGUUUGUAGUUAUUGUUGUGAGGGAAGUUUCUUGGGUCAUUCUAAUUCAGAUAUAGCACAUUUUUAGUUUUUCAAAGAAAGAAGUCGACUCUAUCAACAUGUUGGUUAUUCCUAGUACACGUCUAUUGAAAAUAUGCCCUAGAGGCGAUAAUAUUUUGUAUUAUUAUAUUCUCAUAUUCAUAAUUAUAGAGAUUAUAUUUCAUGCUAUAACUGCUAUGAUCCUGGAAUAUGCGAUUCAGUGGAAAAAUCAUAUGCAUGAUAAAAAGUUAAAUAAAAGGUACCUAGUCUUGCCUAUAGGACUAGCUCAAGUGUUGUUGGUGAUCACGUUUUCUGAAUCUUAGGAUAUCAUUAAGUGUAACGAUAGUCCUAAAACAACAUUGAGAUUAUGAUGUUGGAAGAACGAUCAUAUUGAAUCGACCCAAUCUUGUAUGUUAUGAAUUGAGUGUUGGGGAUCGUAGCAGAAAUUUAAAAUUUUCUACGCAUCACCAAGAUCAAUCUAUGGAGUAGUCUAGCAACGAGGGGAAGAUGAGUGCAUCUACAUACCCUUGUAGAUUGCUAAGCGGAAGCGUUCAAGCAAACGGGGUUGAUGGAGUCGUACUCGUCGUGAUCCAAAUCACCGAUGUAGCGCCGAAUGGACGGCACCUCCGCGUUCAACACACGUACGGAACGGAGACGUCUCCCACGCCUUAAUCCAGCAAGGAGGAGGGAGAGGUUGAGGAAGGGAGUCCAACAACAGCACGAUGGCGUGGUGGUGAUGGAGCUCGUGGUUCUCCAGCAGGGCUUCGCCAAGCACUAUGGAGGAGGAGGAGGUGUAGGAGGAGGGAGGGCUGCGCCAGGUUCAAGGGUGUGGCCUCCCUCCCACCCCUCCACUAUUUAUAGGUGGGGAGAGAGGGGGGCUGGCCCCCUUAGAUCCCAUCUAGGGUUGGGGGCGGCGGCCAAGGGGGGGAGGAGUGCCUCCCAAGUCAAGUGGAGGCCCUCCCCCUUAGGGUUUCCCCUCUCCCAUGCGCAUGGGCCUUGGGGGGGCUGGUGCCCUUGGCCCAUUAAGGUUAGGGCGCCCCCCUACAGCCCAUGCUGCUGUAUUGGACGUGGUGGAACAUUUUCCGGACCUCCGGACCCCUCCGGAAUCCUCCGGAACCUUCCGGAAGCUUCCCGGUACAAUACCGGAAAAAACCGAACUUUUCCCGGAACCCGAACAACAACUUUCCAUAUAUAAAUCUUUACCUCCGGACCAUUCCGUAACUCCUCGUGACGUCCGGGAUCUCAUCCGGGACUCCGAACAACAUUCGGUAAUCACAUACAAGUCUUCCUAAUAACCCUAGCGUCAUCGAACCUUAAGUGUGUAGACCCUACGGGUUCGGGAACCAUGCAGACAUGACCGAGACAACUCUUCGGCCAAUAACCAACAUCGGGAUCUGGAUACCCAUGUUGGCUCCCACAUGUUCCAUGAUGAUCUCAUCGGAUGAACCUCGAUGUCGAGGAUUCAAUCAAUCCCGUAUUCAAUUCCCUUUGUCCAGCGGUAUUGUACUUGCCCGAGAUUCGAUCGUCGGUAUCCCGAUACCUUGUUCAAUCUCGUUACCGGUAAGUCUCUUUACUCAUUCCGUAACACAUCAUCCCAUGAUCAACUCCUUGGUCACAUUGUGCACAUUAUGAGGAUGUCCUACCGAGUGGGCCCAGAGAUACCUCUCCGUUUACACGUAGUGACAAAUCCCAAUCUCGAUUCGUGCCAACCCAACAGACACUUUCGGAGAUACCUGUAGUGAACCUUUAUAGCCACCCAGUUACGUUGUGACGUUUGGUACACCCAAAGCACUCCUACGAUAUCCGGGAGUUGCACAAUCUCAUGGUCUAAGGAAAUGAUACUUGACAUUAGAAAAGCUUUAGCAUACGAACUACACGAUCUUUGUGCUAGGCUUAGGAUUGGGUCUUGUCCAUCACAUCAUUCUCCUAAUGAUGUGAUCCCGUUAUCAACGACAUCCAAUGUCCAUGGUCAGGAAACCGUAACCAUCUAUUAAUCAACGAGCUAGUCAACUAGAGGCUUACUAGGGACAUGGUGUUGUCUAUGUAUCCACACAUGUAUCUGAGUUUCCUAUCAAUACAAUUCUAGCAUGGAGAGUAAACGAUUGUCAUGAACAAUGAAAUAUAAUAUAAUAAUAACUAAUUUAUUAUUGCCUCUAGGGCAUAUUUCCAACAGUCUCCCACUUGCACUAGAGUUAAUAAUCUAGUUCACAUCGCCAUGUGAUUAACACUAACAGGUCACAUCGCCAUGUGACCAACAUCCAAGAGUCUACUAGACUCAAUGAUCUAGUUCACAUCACUGUGUGAUAAACACUCAAAGAGUUCUGGGUUUGAUCAUGUUAUGCUUGUGAGAGAGGUUGUAGUCAACGGGUCUUGCCAUAUUCAGAUCCCUAUGUAUUUCGCAAAACUUUAUGCCAUAUCAUAGAUGCUGCUACCACGUUCCACUUGGAGCUAUUCCAAAUUGUGGCUCCAUUAUACGUAUCCGGUAUCUCUACUCAGAGCUAUCCGGAUAGGUGUUAAGCUUGCAUCGACAUAACUCUUUAUGUCGAACUCUUUAUCACCUCCAUAACCGAGAAACAUUUCCUUAUUCCUCUAAGGAUAAUUUUUGACCGCUAUUUGGUGAUCUACUCCUAGAUCACCUUUGUACCCUCUUGCCAGACAUAUGGCAAGGCACACAUCAGGUGCGGUACUUCAGCAUGGCAUACCGUAUAGAGCCUAUGACAAAAGCAUAGGGGACGACCUUCGUCCUUCCUCUUUCUUCUGUCGUGGUCAAUCUUUGAGUCUUACUCAACUUCACACCUUACAACUCAGGUAAGAACCCUUCUUUGACUGAUCUAUUUUGAACUCCUUCAAAAACAUGUCAAGGUGUGCGUUCUUUGAAAGUAUCAUCAGGCGUCUUGAUCUAUCUCUAUAGAUCUUGAUGCCCAAUAUGUAAGCAGCUUUAUCCAGGUCUUCCUUUGAAAAACACUCUUCAAACAACCGUUUAUGCUUUCCAGAAAUUCUACAUUAUUUCGGAUCUACAAUAUGUCAUCCACAUAUACUUAUCAGAAAUGUUGUAGUGCUCCCACUCACUUUCUUGUAAAUACAAGUUUCUAACAAACAUUGUAUAAACCUAAAAGCUUUGAUCACUCCAUCAAAGCAUAUAUUCUGACUCCGAGAUGCUUGCUCUAGUCCAUAGAAGGAUCGCUGGGCCAGCAUACCUUUUAGCAUCCUUAGGAUCGACAAAACUUUGAUUGUAUCACAUACAACUCUUUGUUACGAAAACUUGGUAAGAAAACUUGUUUUCACAUCCAUCUGUAAGAUUUCAUAAUCGAAAAAUACAGCUAAUGCUAACAUGAUUCCGACGGACUUAAGCAUCGCUACAGGUGAGAAAUUCUCAUCAUAUUCAACUCCUUGAACUUGUGAAAAGAAUUUUUCCCACAAGUUGAGCUUCAUAGACGGUAACCGCCCAUGUCCGUCUUCUUCUUAAAGAUCCAUUUAUCUCAAUGGCUUGCCGAUGAUCGGGCAAGUCCACCAAAGUCCAUACUUUGUUCUGAUAUAUGGAUCCUAUCUCGGAUUUCAUGGCUUCUAACCAUUUGUCAGAAUACGGGCCCACCAUCGCUUCUCCAUAGCUCGUAGGUUCAUUGUUGUCUAACAACAUGAUAUCUAAGACAGGAUUACCGUACCACUUAGGAGUAGUACAUAUCCUUGUCGACCUACGAGGUUCGAUGGCAACUUGAUCCGAAGCUUCAUGAUCACUAUCAUUAACUUCCUAUUCAACAGAUGUAGGCGCCACAGAAAACAUCUUUCUGUGUUGCAUCACUCUCUGGUUGAAGUAAAGGUUCGACAACCUCAUCAAGUUCUAUCUUCCUCCCACUCAAUUCUUUCGAGAGAAACUCCUUCUCGAGAAAGGACCCGUUCUUAGCGACAAACAAUUUGCCCUCGGAUCUGAGAUAGAAGGUAUACCCAAAUGUCACCCUUGGGUAUCCUAUGAAGAUGUGUUUGUCCGCUUUGGGUUCGAGCUUCUUCGGCUGAAGCCUUAAGCAUCGCAGCCCCAAACAUUAAGAAACGACAACUUUGGUUUCUUGCCAAACCAAUGUGUUGGGGAACGUAGUAAUUUCAAAAAAUUUCCUACGCACACGCAAGAUCAUGGUGAUGCAUAGCAACGAGAGGGGAGAGUGUGAUCUACGUACCCUUGUAGACCGACAGCGGAAGCGUUAGCACAACGCGGUUGAUGUAGUCCUACGUCUUCACGGCCCGACCGAUCAAGCACCGAAACUACGGCACCUCUGAGUUCUAGCACACGUUCAGCUCGAUGACGAUCCCCGGACUCUGACCCAACAAAGUGUCGGGAAAGAGUUCUAUCAGCACGAUGGCGUGGUGACGAUCUUGAUGUACUACCGUCGCAGGGCUUCGCCUAAGCACCGCUAGAAUAUUAUCGAGGAUUAUGGUGGAAGGGGGAACCGCACACGGCUAAGAAUAUGAUCACGUGGAUCAACUUGUGUGUCUAUGGGGUGCCCCCUGCCCCCGUAUAUAAAGGAUCAAGGGAAGGAGGCCGGCCGGCCCCUAUGGCGCGCCAAGGAGGAGUCCUCCUCCUAGUAGGAGUAGGACUCCUACUAGGAGGGGGAAAGAAGUGGGGAGGGAGAAGGAAAGGGGGGCGCCGCCCCCCCUCUCCUAGUCCAAUUCGGACCAGGGGGAGGAGGCACGCGGCCCACCCUGGCUGCCCCUCUCUCUCUCCACUAAGGCCGAUAUGGCCCAUUACUUCUCCUGGGGGGGGGGUUCCGGUAACCCUCCGGCUCUUCGGUUUUCUCUGAAAUCACCCGAAACACUUCCGAUGUCCGAAUAUAGCCGUCCAAUAUAUCAACCUUUAUGUCUCGACCAUUUCGAGACUCCUCGUCAUGUCCGUGAUCACAUCCGGGACUCCGAACUAACUUCGGUACAUCAAAACUCAUAAACUCAUAAUAUAACUGUCAUCGAAACCUUAAGCGUGCAGACCCUACGGGUUCGAGAACCAUGUAGACAUGACCGAGACACGUCUCCGGUCAAUAACCAAUAACGGAACCUGGAUGCUCAUAUUGGCUCCUACAUAUUCUAUGAAGAUCUUUAUCGGUCAGACCGCAUAACAACAUAUGUUGUUCCCUUUGUCAUCGGUAUGUUACUUGCCCGAGAUUCGAUCGUCGGUAUCUCAAUACCUAGUUCAAUCUCGUUACCGGCAAGUCUCUUUACUCGUUUCGUAAUACAUCAUCUUGCAACUAACUCAUUAGUUAUAAUGCUUGCAAGGCUUAUGUGAUGUGCAUUACCGAGAGGGCCCAGAGAUACCUCUCCGACAAUCGGAGUGACAAAUCCUAAUCUCGAAAUACGCCAACCCAACAUUCACCUUUGGAGACACCUGUAGAGCUCCUUUAUAAUCACCCAAUUACGUUGUGACGUUUGGUAGCACACAAAGUGUUCCUCCGGUAAAUGGGAGUUGCAUAAUCUCAUAGUCAUAGGAACAUGUAUAAGUCAUAAAGAAAGCAAUAGCAACAUACUAAACGAUCGGGUGCUAAGCUAAUGGAAUGGGUCAUGUCAAUCACAUCAUUCUCCUAAUGAUGUGAUCCCAUUAAUCAAAUGACAACACAUGUCUAUGGUUAGGAAACAUAACCAUCUUCGAUUAACGAGCUAGUCAAGUAGAGGCAUACUAGUGACGUUUGGUUUGUCUAUGUAUUCACACAAGUAUUAUGUUUCCGGAUAAUACAAUUCUAGCAUGAAUAAUAAAAAUUUAUCAUGAUAUAAGGAAAUAAAAUAAUAGCAUUAUUAUUGCCUCUAGGGCAUAUUUCCUUCAGUAUCCCACUUGCACUAGAGUCAAUAAUCUAGAUUACACAGUAAUGAUUCUAACACCCAUGGAGCUUUGGUGUUGAUCAUGUUUUGCUCCUGGAAGAGGCUUAGUCAACGGGUCUGCUACAUUCAGAUCCGUAUGUAUCUUGCAAAUCUCUAUGUCUCCCACCUGGACCAGAUCCAAGAUGGAAUUGAAGCAUCUCUUGAUGUGCUUGGUUCUCUUGUGAAAUCUGGAUUCCUUUGCCAAGGCAAUUGCACCAGUAUUGUCACAAAAGAUUUUCAUUGGACCCGAUGCACUAGGUAUGACACCUAGAUCGGAUAUGAACUCCUUCAUCCAGACUCCUUCGUUUGCUGCUUCCGAAGCAGCUAUGUACUCCGCUUCACAUGUAGAUCCCGCCACAACGCUUUGUUUAGAACUGCACCAACUAACAGCUCCACGGUUUAAUGUAAACACAUAUCCGAUUUGCAAUUUAGAAUCGUCCGGAUCAGUGUCAAAGCUUGCAUCAAUGUAACCAUUUACGAUGAGCUCUUUGUCACCUCCAUAUAUGAGAAACAUAUCCUUAGUCCUUUUCAGGUGUUUCAGGAUGUUCUUGACCGCUGUCCAGUGAUCCACCCCUGGAUUACUUUGGUACCUCCCUGCCAGACUUAUAGCAAGACACACAUCAGGUCUGGUACACAGCAUUGCAUACAUGAUAGAGCCUAUGGCUGAAGCAUAGGGAACAUCUUUCAUUUUCUCUCUAUCUUCUGCAUUGGUCGGACUUUGAGUCUUACUCAAUUUCACACCUUGUAACACUGGCAAGAAUCCUUUCUUUGCUUGAUCCAUUUUGAACUUUUUCAAAACUUUGUCAAGGUAUGUGCUUUGUGAAAGUCCAAUUAAGCGUCUCGAUCUGUCUCUAUAGAUCUUGAUGCCCAAUAUGUAGGCAGCUUCACCGAGGUCUUUCAUUGAAAAACUUUUAUUCAAGUAUCCUUUUAUGCUAUCCAGAAAUUCUAUAUCAUUUCCGAUUAGUAAUAUGUCAUCUACAUAUAAUAUCAGAAAUGCUACAGAGCUCCCACUCACUUUCUUGUAAAUACAGGCUUCUCCAAAAGUCUGUAUAAAACCAAAUGCUUUGAUCACACUAUCAAAGCGUUUAUUCCAACUCCGAGAGGCUUGCACCAGUCCAUAAAUGGAUCGCUGGAGCUUGCACACUUUGUUAGCUCCCUUUGGAUCGACAAAACCUUCCGGCUGCAUCAUAUACAACUCUUCUUGCAGAAAUCCAUUCAGGAAUGCAGUUUUGACAUCCAUUUGCCAAAUUUCAUAAUCAUAAAAUGCGGCAAUUGCUAACAUGAUUCGGACAGACUUAAGCAUCACUACAGGUGAGAAGGUCUCAUCGUAGUCAAUCCCUUGAAGUUGCCGAAAACCUUUUGCGACAAGUCGAGCUUUGUAGACAGUAAUAUUAUCGUCAGCGUCAGUCUUCUUCUUGAAGAUCCAUUUAUUCUCAAUUGCUUACCGAUCAUUGGGCAAGUCAACCAAAGUCCAUACUUUCUUGUCAUACAUGGAUCCCAUCUCAGAUUUCAUGGCUUCAAGCCAUUUUGCGGAAUCUGGGCUCACCAUCGCUUCUUCAUAGUUCGUAGGUUCAUCAUGAUCUAGUAGCAUGACUUCCAGAACAGGAUUACCGUACCACUCUGGCGCGGAUCUUACUCUGGUUGAUCUAUGAGGUUCAGUAGUAUCUUGUUCUGAAGUUUCACGAUCAUUAUCAUUAGCUUCCUCACUAAUUGGUGUAGGUGUCACAGAAACAGGUUUCUGUGAUGUACUACUUUCCAAUAAGGGAGCAGGUACAGUUACCUCGUCAAGUUCUACUUUCCUCCCACUCACUUCUUUCGAGAGAAACUCCUUCUCCAGAAAGUUUCCGAAUUUAGCAACAAAAGUCUUGCCUUCGGAUCUGUGAUAGAAGGUGUAUCCAAUAGUUUCCUUUGGAUAUCCUAUGAAGACACAUUUCUUCGAUUUGGGUUCGAGCUUAUCAGGUUGAAGCUUUUUCACAUAGGCAUCGCAGCCCCAAACUUUCAGAAACGUCAACUUUGGUUUCUUGCCAAACCACUGUUCAUAAGGCGUCGUCUCAACGGAUUUUGAUGGUGCCGUAUUUAACGUGAAUGCGGCCGUCUCUAGAGCAUAUCCCCAAAAUGAUAGCGGUAAAUCAGUAAGAGACAUCAUAGAUCGCACCAUAUCUAGUAAAGUACGAUUACGACGUUCGGACACACCAUUACACUGUGGUGUUCCAGGUGGCGUGAGUUGCGAAACUAUUCCACAUUGUUUCAAAUGUACACCAAACUCGUAACUCAAAUAUUCUCCUCCAUGAUCAGAUCGUAGGAAUUUUAUUUUCUUGUUACGAUGAUUUUCAACUUCACUCUGAAAUUCUUUGAACUUUUCAAACGUUUCAGACUUAUGUUUCAUUAAGUAGAUUACCCAUAUCUGCUUAAGUCAUCUGUGAAGGUGAGAAAAUAACGAUAUCCGCCACGAGCCUCAACAUUCAUCGGACCACAUACAUCUGUAUGUAUGAUUUCCAACAAAUCUGUUGCUCUCUCCAUAGUACCAGAGAACGGUGUUUUUGUCAUCUUACCCAUAAGGCACGGUUCGCAAGUACCAAGUGAUUCAUAAUCAAGUGGUUCCAAAAGCCCAUUAGUAUGGAGUUUCUUCAUGCGCUUUACACCGAUAUGACCCAAAUGGCAGUGCCACAAAUAAGUUGCACUAUCAUUAUCAACUCUGCAUCUUUUGGCUUCAACAUUAUGAAUAUGUGUGUCACUACUAUCGAGAUUUAAUAAGAAUAGACCACUCUUUAAGGGUCCAUGACCAUAAAAGAUAUUACUCAUAUAAAUAGAACAACCAUUAUUCUCAGAUUUAAAUGAAUAACCGUCUCACAUCAAACAAGAUCCAGAUAUAAUGUUCAUGCUUAACGCUGGCACCAAAUAACAAUUAUUUAGGUCUAAUACUAAUCCCGAAGGUAGAUGUAGAGGUAGCAUGCCGACCGCGAUCACAUCGACUUUGGAACCAUUUCCCACGCGCAUCGUCACCUCGUCCUUAGCCAAUCUUCGCUUAAUCCGUAGUCCCUGUUUCGAGUUGCAAAUAUUAGCAACAGAACCAGUAUCAAAUACCCAGGUGCUACUGCGAGCAUUAGUAAGGUACACAUCAAUAACAUGUAUAUCACAUAUACCUUUGUUCACCUUGCCAUCCUUCUUAUCCGCCAAAUACUUGGGGUAGUUCCGCUUCCAAUGACCAGUCUGCUUGCAGUAGAAGCACUCAGGUUCAGGCUUAGGUCCAGGUUUGGGUUUCUUCUCUUGAGUAGCAACUUGCUUGCUGUUCUUUUUGAAGUUCCCCUUCUUCUUCCCUUUGCCCUUUUUCUUGAAACUAGUGGUCUUAUUGACCAUCAACACUUGAUGCUCCUUCUUGAUUUCUACCUCGGCAACUUUCAGCAUUGCGAAGAGCUCGGGAAUAGUCUUAUUCAUCCCUUGCAUAUUAUAGUUCAUCACGAAGCUCUUGUAGCUUGGUGGCAGUGAUUGGAGAAUACUGUCAAUGACGCAAUCAUUUGGAAGAUUAACUCCCAAUUGAAUCAAGUGAUUAUUAUACCCAGACAUUUUGAGUAUAUGCUCACUGACAGAACUGUUCUCCUCCAUCUUGCAGCUAUAGAUCUUAUUGGAGACUUCAUAUCUCUCAAUCCGGGCAUUUGCUUGAAAUAUUAACUUCAACUCCUGGAACAUCUCAUACGCUCCAUGACGUUCAAAACGUCGUUGAUGUCCCGAUUCUAAGCCAUAAUGCAUGGCACACUGAACUAUCGAGUAGUCAUCAGCUUUGCUCUGCCAGAUGUUCAUAGCAUCUGGUGUUGCUCCAGCAGCAGGCCUGGCACCCAGUGGUGCUUCCAGGACGUAAUUCUUCUGUGCAGCAAUGAGGAUGAUCCUCAAGUUACGGACCCAGUCCGUGUAAUUGCUACCAUCAUCUUUCAACUUUGCUUUCUCAAGGAACGCAUUAAAAUUCAACGGAACAACAGCACGGGCCAUCUAUCUACAAUCAAACAUAGACAAGCAAGAUACUAUCAGGUACUAAGUUCAUGAUAAAUUUAGGUUCAAUUAAUCAUAUUACUAAAGAACUCCCACUUAG
Molecule: long non-coding RNA, 43832 nt
Filed under: Triticum aestivum (bread wheat)
Lineage: Eukaryota; Viridiplantae; Streptophyta; Magnoliopsida; Poales; Poaceae
Description: long non-coding RNA (TAES_LNC026138)
Source: RNAcentral